Molecule: ribosomal RNA, 700 nt
Filed under: Streptomyces sp. KLBMP 2041
Lineage: Bacteria; Bacillati; Actinomycetota; Actinomycetes; Kitasatosporales; Streptomycetaceae
Description: bacterial SSU rRNA
Rfam family: Bacterial small subunit ribosomal RNA
Source: RNAcentral
GAACGAUGAACCACUUCGGUGGGGAUUAGUGGCGAACGGGUGAGUAACACGUGGGCAAUCUGCCCUGCACUCUGGGACAAGCCCUGGAAACGGGGUCUAAUACCGGAUACUGAUCCUCUUAGGCAUCUUGGAUGAUCGAAAGCUCCGGCGGUGCAGGAUGAGCCCGCGGCCUAUCAGCUAGUUGGUGAGGUAAUGGCUCACCAAGGCGACGACGGGUAGCCGGCCUGAGAGGGCGACCGGCCACACUGGGACUGAGACACGGCCCAGACUCCUACGGGAGGCAGCAGUGGGGAAUAUUGCACAAUGGGCGAAAGCCUGAUGCAGCGACGCCGCGUGAGGGAUGACGGCCUUCGGGUUGUAAACCUCUUUCAGCAGGGAAGAAGCGAAAGUGACGGUACCUGCAGAAGAAGCGCCGGCUAACUACGUGCCAGCAGCCGCGGUAAUACGUAGGGCGCGAGCGUUGUCCGGAAUUAUUGGGCGUAAAGAGCUCGUAGGCGGCUUGUCACGUCGGUUGUGAAAGCCCGGGGCUUAACCCCGGGUCUGCAGUCGAUACGGGCAGGCUAGAGUUCGGUAGGGGAGAUCGGAAUUCCUGGUGUAGCGGUGAAAUGCGCAGAUAUCAGGAGGAACACCGGUGGCGAAGGCGGAUCUCUGGGCCGAUACUGACGCUGAGGAGCGAAAGCGUGGGGGAGCGAACAGGAUU